Molecule: ribosomal RNA, 444 nt
Filed under: uncultured bacterium
Lineage: Bacteria
Description: partial 16S ribosomal RNA
Rfam family: Bacterial small subunit ribosomal RNA
Source: RNAcentral
GUAAGGAAUAUUGGUCAAUGGACGAAAGUCUGAACCAGCCAUGCCGCGUGGAGGAUGAAGGUCCUCUGGAUUGUAAACUUCUUUUAUCUGGGACGAAAAAAGGUCUUUCUAGAUCGUCUGACGGUACCAGAUGAAUAAGCACCGGCUAACUCCGUGCCAGCAGCCGCGGUAAUACGGAGGGUGCAAGCGUUAUCCGGAUUCACUGGGUUUAAAGGGUGCGUAGGUGGGUUGGUAAGUCAGUGGUGAAAUCUUCGAGCUUAACUCGGAAACUGCCAUUGAUACUAUCAGUCUUGAAUAUUGUGGAGGUUAGCGGAAUAUGUCAUGUAGCGGUGAAAUGCUUAGAUAUGACAUAGAACACCAAUUGCGAAGGCAGCUGGCUACACAUAUAUUGACACUGAGGCACGAAAGCGUGGGGAUCAAACAGGAUUAGAAACCUGGUAGUCC